GACGAACGCUGGCGGCGUGCUUAACACAUGCAAGUCGCACGGAAAGGCCCUGCUUUUGUGGGGUGCUCGAGUGGCGAACGGGUGAGUAACACGUGAGUAACCUGCCCUUGACUUUGGGAUAACUUCAGGAAACUGGGGCUAAUACCGGAUAGGAGCUGCUGCUGCAUGGUGGGGGUUGGAAAGUUUCGGCGGUUGGGGAUGGACUCGCGGCUUAUCAGCUUGUUGGUGGGGUAGUGGCUUACCAAGGCUUUGACGGGUGGCCGGCCUGAGAGGGUGACCGGCCACAUUGGGACUGAGAUACGGCCCAGACUCCUACGGGAGGCAGCAGUGGGGAAUAUUGCACAAUGGGCGGAAGCCUGAUGCAGCAACGCCGCGUGCGGGAUGACGGCCUUCGGGUUGUAAACCGCUUUCGCCUGUGACGAAGCGUGAGUGACGGUAAUGGGUAAAGAAGCACCGGCUAACUACGUG
This 468-nucleotide ribosomal RNA is filed under the name uncultured bacterium. RNAcentral describes it as "partial 16S ribosomal RNA". It matches the Rfam family "Bacterial small subunit ribosomal RNA", at positions 28 to 507 of the family's 1533-position model. The record is from RNAcentral.